Punica granatum (pomegranate) is the source of this 915-nucleotide non-coding RNA. Lineage: Eukaryota; Viridiplantae; Streptophyta; Magnoliopsida; Myrtales; Lythraceae. The record is from RefSeq and is a predicted model, not a curated record.
AAUAAAAUAAAAUAGAUGUUUUAUUUUCUAAAGAUUUUUUUUUGCCGGAAGAAGAAUUUUAAUUAAACACAUCAUAAUUUACAUUGGGACGACGGCGUCGAGGCCACCAGCCAACACAACCAACUAAGACAUCUUCAAGGCCACCGACCAACACAAUGACUGGACCGCCGACAACAGGGACAAUCACAUAGACCCUUGUUAAGUAAACCCGCAACGUAAACAACAUAAAAAAAAUCAAUAAAUCGCACCCACAGGAUUUCAACUAGAUCUGACCCCACACGAUACAAGACCUAACAACCAAACAUGAUCUAACCAGACCGAGCACACCUUCGUAUGGACGCCAAGGUGGUAGACAGAACAUCAUGUAGGGGCUUUGACCUUAAAAAUACAAGAGGUCCAGAUCAAGACGGGUAGAGUGACCAUGGUCUGGAUCCGAGCCGAGACCGAUCAUCGCGGAGAACCGAAGGUGCUCAAUCAAGAUGGAGAAACGGCCGUGGAGGAGCGGCGGUGAAGGAACAAAACAAAGCAGUGGAAGGAUGGGGUGGUGGAGGACCGGGGUGGGCAGCAGUGGUGGGAGCAGUGAGCGGAGGGGGAAGGAGGUGGAGUCGGAUUUGGGUGUAAGGGCAGAGAAACUGAUGGAGACAGAGCAAGGAAGAUGAAGGACUGAUCAGAUCAGGGGCAAGGGAUUGCCGCCGGACGCGCCGGCGAUAGCGGUGGACAAAGGAGAAGAGGAGGGAGAGAGAACAGAGUAGAUUUUGCAGUCAAUUGUGCUUGCAGGCGGCUAUUUUUUAAAGCAUAAUUGUUCACUCUUUGUUGAAAAGAGUUAUUUUAUUACUUAAACUAUUUGGAUAAGGCCAUUUCUAUUUCCAUAAACAUUUUUUUUGGUUUUAAAAAUUUUAAAAAUAUUCAAAAUAA